Schistosoma mansoni is the source of this 46-nucleotide non-coding RNA. NCBI's taxonomy places the organism in Eukaryota, Metazoa, Platyhelminthes, Trematoda, Strigeidida, Schistosomatidae. The record is from Rfam.
GCACUGCUGAAGAGUCCCACAAUAGGACGAAACAGUUGUCUAAUGC